This is a long non-coding RNA of Polypterus senegalus (gray bichir), 157 nucleotides long. RefSeq lists it as uncharacterized. NCBI's taxonomy places the organism in Eukaryota, Metazoa, Chordata, Cladistia, Polypteriformes, Polypteridae. The transcript is spliced from 3 exons. The record is from RefSeq and is a predicted model, not a curated record.
UAUUAAUUUGAAAUUAUUCUUUUGUGUGCUCCACAGUAUGCUCUGCACCUUGCCUUGGAUGUGCCAUUUGACUUCACAGCUGACAAAGGCGUUCACUAAAGGGGCACUGGAGAGUGUGAAUGAGACCCAGAGCAGUGAGGAGGAACCACUAAUACAA